CUUGGUCAUUUAGAGGAAGUAAAAGUCGUAACAAGGUCUCCGUUGGUGAACCAGCGGAGGGAUCAUUACAGAGUUGCAAAACUCCCAACCAUUGUGAACCUACCUCACCGUUGCUUCGGCGGGUGGCCCGGGGCAACCCGCGGCCGCGCCGGCGCCUCUCUCCAGGGGCCCGGCAAACCCGUCAGAAGACCGAAACCCUGUUAUACUGGCCUCUCUGAGUAACUUAUACAAUAAGUCAAAACUUUCAACAACGGAUCUCUUGGUUCUGGCAUCGAUGAAGAACGCAGCGAAAUGCGAUACGUAAUGUGAAUUGCAGAUUUCAGUGAAUCAUCGAAUCUUUGAACGCACAUUGCGCCCGCUAGUAUUCUGGCGGGCAUGCCUGUUCGAGCGUCAUUUCAACCAUCAAGCGCCUGCGCUUGUGUUGGAGCCCUGCGGCUGCCGCAGGCUCCCAAACCCAGUGGCGGGCUCGUCGUCGUACCGAGUGCAGUAAACUUACCACGCUCAGGGCACGCGACGGGUGACCGGCCGUAAAACCCCCCAUUUUCUCAAGGUUGACCUCGGAUCAGGUAGGAAUACCCGCUGAACUUAAGCAUAUCAAUAAGCGGAGGAAAAGAAACCAACAGGGAUUGCCCCAGUAACGGCGAGUGAAGCGGCAACAGCUCAAAUUUGAAAUCUGGCCUCGGCCCGAGUUGUAAUUUGCAGAGGAAGCUUCUGGUGCGGCGCCGUCCGAGUCUCCUGGAACGGAGCGCCAUAGAGGGUGAGAGCCCCGUAUGGACGGAUGCCAAACCUGUGUGAAGCUCCUUCGACGAGUCGAGUUGUUUGGGAAU
This 827-nucleotide small RNA is filed under the name uncultured Podospora. RNAcentral describes it as "eukaryotic LSU rRNA". The stretch from base 553 to 827 matches the Rfam family "Eukaryotic large subunit ribosomal RNA", at positions 1 to 281 of the family's 3401-position model. The record is from RNAcentral. Lineage: Eukaryota; Fungi; Ascomycota; Sordariomycetes; Sordariales; Lasiosphaeriaceae.